AACGAACGCUGGCGGCAUGCCUAGCACAUGCAAGUCGAACGAGACCUUCGGGUCUAGUGGCGCACGGGUGCGUAACGCGUGGGAACCUGCCCUUAGGUUCGGAAUAACUCCCCGAAAGGGGUGCUAAUACCGGAUAAUGUCUUCGGACCAAAGAUUUAUCGCCUUUGGAUGGGCCCGCGUUGGAUUAGCUAGUUGGUAGGGUAAAAGCCUACCAAGGCGACGAUCCAUAGCUGGUCUGAGAGGAUGAUCAGCCACACUGGGACUGAGACACGGCCCAGACUCCUACGGGAGGCAGCAGUGGGGAAUAUUGGACAAUGGGCGAAAGCCUGAUCCGGCAAUGCCGCGUGAGUGAUGAAGGCCUUAGGGUUGUAAAGCUCUUUUACCCGGGAUGAUAAUGACAGUACCGGGAGAAUAAGCUCCGGCUAACUCCGUG
This 433-nucleotide ribosomal RNA is filed under the name uncultured bacterium. Its description in RNAcentral is "partial 16S ribosomal RNA". It matches the Rfam family "Bacterial small subunit ribosomal RNA", at positions 29 to 507 of the family's 1533-position model. The record is from RNAcentral.